Molecule: ribosomal RNA, 489 nt
Filed under: uncultured bacterium
Lineage: Bacteria
Description: partial 16S ribosomal RNA
Rfam family: Bacterial small subunit ribosomal RNA
Source: RNAcentral
GACGAACGCUGGCGGCGUGCUUAACACAUGCAAGUCGAACGGUGAAGGGAUCAGCUUGCUGGUUCUGGAUGAGUGGCGAACGGGUGAGUAACACGUGAGUAACCUGCCCCCUUCUUCUGGAUAACCGCAUGAAAGUGUGGCUAAUACGGGAUAUUCUGGGUCUGUCGCAUGAUGGGUCUGGGAAAGAUAUUGUUUCGGUGGGGGAUGGGCUCGCGGCCUAUCAGCUUGUUGGUGGGGUGAUGGCCUACCAAGGCGGUGACGGGUAGCCGGCCUGAGAGGGUGGACGGUCACACUGGGACUGAGACACGGCCCAGACUCCUACGGGAGGCAGCAGUGGGGAAUAUUGCACAAUGGGCGCAAGCCUGAUGCAGCGACGCCGCGUGAGGGAUGGAGGCCUUCGGGUUGUAAACCUCUUUCGCCAGUGAAGCAGGCCUGCUCCUUGUGGGUGGGUUGACGGUAGCUGGAGAAGAAGCGCCGGCUAACUACGUG